Mangifera indica (mango) is the source of this 626-nucleotide long non-coding RNA. RefSeq lists it as uncharacterized. The record is from RefSeq and is a predicted model, not a curated record. The transcript is spliced from 2 exons. NCBI's taxonomy places the organism in Eukaryota, Viridiplantae, Streptophyta, Magnoliopsida, Sapindales, Anacardiaceae.
UUUAAACAUGGAGGAUAAGAAAUGUUUCAUCAAUGCUCAGGUGUCAUUCGAGGUGUUAAACAUUUAGUUUUUCACACAUAAUAUGCCGUACAGAAAUUUUGUUUGUAUGUGUCCAUUUGGAUCCUCAACCUAAACCCUAGAGAUCUUGAGUUCUUGACAAUGGCGAUGCGAAGAUUAUUAUUACUCUCCAGAGCCCUCGCUUAAACCACCACUUCCUCGGUGGCCACUACCUUCCACCGUCGCUUUCUCUCAAUCGGCGGCAAUAUUGCCAAUUCCGGUUCGUACAGCCGUCGCUCAGCUGGAGUGGUAUCUGUCGUUUCAAGAGGUCUAUGCUAAGGAACUGCUGCCGGCUAAUUUGGUUCCUAAGGAGGUUGUUCUUUAUCUGCAUGAGGGUGUCCUUGCAUCCGACGCAGUUAAAGAUGGGUUGAAAAUCACUUGGUGCAUGUCUUAUACAGAAACAUAUUUCGGGACACUUUGGAGGCUCAUGAAUACUAUUACUAUCUAAAAGGCAAUUGUAAGAUUUUUUCUGGAAAUACAUCUCUAUGUAUGUGUUGACAUUGUACAAUAAAAAAAUUUGUUUGAACCAAAGAAACGAGCAAAAAACAUCCAACCAUGUAUUACCAUCA